GCAUGUUUAAUUUUUUUAAAAUUAAAAAAAAAAAAACAAAUAGCGAUUGUUUCGAAAACCUAGUAUUUUGUAUGAUCAAAGGGACGCUUUUCACGAAUAGUUUUUCCAAACAUAUAUAAUGCUGCUAUUGAAAAAUUUAUGGCGACUAAAAGAAAAGCUAGUAGACUCGAACCCCAACCAUAUCCAAGUCUCUCAAACAAUUUUUCUGCAAAUAAAGGAAAGCAGGCACCGAAAAUAUUUCUAGGAAUGGCGAUGGCAGCCAUCGCGCUUGCCGCAUAUCGGCCAUAAUUAUCGACGAUAAACAUGUUCAUGGGAUUGAAUGUCAUGACAAAUCCGGCUCCUACCAAUGUCGUUCCGAUCAACGGCACGAACCAAAAGACUUUGUACUGAACGGUCCAACCAAAAAUAAACAUACCGGUCAUAAUGGCAAAACACCCAAGAAAAGCCAUUGGUAAGCGAAAUUCUGGUUCUGGCACUCCAUUGUUUUUCUGAACAGCAGAAAGCCAAUACUUCUGGUUCAAAGGAAGAAGGACAAACACCGCAAAUACUUGACCAAUUGAUAGAGAAAUAUAGGUCAGACCGCUUAAUCCCGAAGUGAAGUGGUAUUGUGAAAUCCAGACCUCAGCAAAGGCAGUGAAUAAAAGGUACAAAAUUCCAUAAACAGUGCCAACGAUUAAUGAAAUAAGGAUCAUAAUUGGUUGUGUGCAUAGCAGAUGCAAAGGACGUCGAAUCGUGGUUACGAGAAUAUGCACUACUUCAGCGAAGCUUUUGUCGGGGUCAAUUUGUUGUGAGGAUUCCGUAAUUUCUGAGAUCUUGACUUCGACUGAUUUCUGAUUUUCCUGUUUUUCAAGAAGUUUCUUUGCUUGUUUCCUUUUCAGUACAGGAGCAUAAGUCUCUUUUAAAAACACAACACCAGCUAAAAGACUUACUCCUGAAAGCAUUAACAGAAUCCAAAACUCCCAUCUCCAAGAGAUGGAGCUCCCGGCGAUAAAGCCUGAUGCUAUAGGGGCAAUUGCGGGUCCCAAACAAAUCCCGAGAAAGUAAAUUCCAAUAUAUUUUCCUCUGUCUCUUUUGCUAAACAUGUCGCUUAAGCUACCAGCUCCAAUACCCAAACCUACUGAUCCAAAAAAUCCACUGAAAAACCGAAAGACCACGAACAUUGCAAGGUUCACCGACAAAGCCGUGGGUAUUUGCAUCAGCGCGAAAAGAGUAUAGCCAAAUAUGUUGAGAGGCCUUCUUCCAUAUAAUUCACUGAGAGGACUGAAUAUCAAAGGGCCUAGCAUUACGCCGAUCACAUAAAGAGUCGCACCUAAAACGACCAAUGUUUCCGGUUCACCGAAUUUCUCACACAGCUCGGGAAUGCUUGGCAUAAAAACGCUGGAUCCAUACAUACAUAGCAUAGUCAUGAAAGAAAUAAUUAUCGUAUUUAUUAUUCUAAUCCUUAUAGGCCAGGUGAGAGGAUCGCAUUGGUCAAUUGAAUCCUUGGAUUCAAUUGACUUCACCGGCAAAAGCUCUAUAUCUUUGAAAUCCUUGUCAGAAACAGACAUUAUAAUUGUUUAAUUUCUGAAACAAGAUGAAGAAGAUUGAGAAUGAUGAGAAUAUAUAUAUCAUUUGCAAUUACUUGCUUCGGCGUUAUGAACUUUCCUCGGCGAUAAGCAUGCAGUUAAAACAGUGCUAGUGCAGGAGCUAGCUUCAAAGUUUGCACUUAUAUCCUCGGAGUUUAGCGAUACGGUGAAGCGAGCGAUACGAAGUCGAUUACUAUUAGAUCAAUUGUUAGGUUACACGAGCGUAUGAUCAUGAACAAAACGUUCGAUGAACUCAAAAUGAAAAUUUCUAUUCAAUUCCAUU
Molecule: long non-coding RNA, 1848 nt
Filed under: Schizosaccharomyces pombe (fission yeast)
Lineage: Eukaryota; Fungi; Ascomycota; Schizosaccharomycetes; Schizosaccharomycetales; Schizosaccharomycetaceae
Source: RNAcentral